This 416-nucleotide long non-coding RNA is filed under the name Homo sapiens (human). RNAcentral's name for it is "HSALNT0236514". The record is from RNAcentral. Lineage: Eukaryota; Metazoa; Chordata; Mammalia; Primates; Hominidae.
AGGCAGCACCCAUAGACUGAGCUUUUAGAGCACCAGACAAGAGAAUCCAAGCUUGGGUCCCCAUCUGAUCAUGGCCACGCCUCCAUCUGAUAAGCUGUUGCCCAGAGUCUCUCACGAAUGACAGGUAGCUAGUCGGUGGUCAUUGUGUGUGGGGGACAAGUGGGUGGGCUAGGGUCUGCUCCAUGCCAGCUGAGCCUCAGCAUUAAUUCACAAGUGAAGCUCAAAGCAACCUGCUUCUGCACUUGAGAAUCAUGGGCACUUCUCCCCAAUAGUCAGGCAUUAGACUUCACCAGGCAGCUGGUGUUUUGUGGGAAAAAAUAGGCAUGCAGGGCCCUGGCAAUAUGAUAGGCACAGAAACUGGUAGAAGAGGAGGGAGGCGGGAACUGCUUGGCGGCGGAGUUGGUGCUAAUUCAUUC